CCUACGCGAGGCUGCAGUGGGGAAUAUUGCACAAUGGGGGAAACCCUGAUGCAGCGACGCCGCGUGAGUGAAGAAGUAAUUCGUUCCGUAAAGCUCUAUCAGCAGGGAAGACAUACUGACCUUACGGUCAGCAGACGGUACCUGAGUAAGAAGCCCCGGCUAACUACGUGCCAGCAGCCGCGGUAAUACGUAGGGGGCACGCGUUAUCCGGAUUUACUGGGUGUAAAGGGAGCGUAGACGGUGCUCCAAGUCUGGAGUGAAAUGCCGCGGCUUAACUGCGGACCUGCUUUGGAAACUGGCGAACUAGAGUGCGGGAGAGGUAAGCGGAAGUCCUGGUGUAGCGGUGAAAUGCGUAGAUAUUAGGAGGAACACCGGUGGCGAAGGCGGCUUACUGGACCGUAACUGACGUUGAGGCUCGAAAGCGUGGGGAGCAAACAGGAUGAGAUACCCGGGUAGUC
This 458-nucleotide ribosomal RNA is filed under the name uncultured bacterium. RNAcentral describes it as "partial 16S ribosomal RNA". It matches the Rfam family "Bacterial small subunit ribosomal RNA", at positions 338 to 795 of the family's 1533-position model. The record is from RNAcentral.